GAUGAACGCUAGCUACAGGCUUAACACAUGCAAGUCGAGGGGCAGCAUGAACUUAGCUUGCUAAGUUUGAUGGCGACCGGCGCACGGGUGAGUAACACGUAUCCAACCUUCCGUUUACUCAGGGAUAGCCUUUCGAAAGAAAGAUUAAUACCUGAUAGUAUGGUGAGAUUGCAUAAUAACACCAUUAAAGAUUUAUUGGUAAACGAUGGGGAUGCGUUCCAUUAGGUAGUAGGCGGGUAAGGCCCACCUAGCCUGCGAUGGAUAGGGGUUCUGAGAGGAAGGUCCCCCCANAUUGGAACUGAGACACGGUCCAAACUCCUACGGGAGCAGCAGUGAGGAAUAUUGGUCAAUGGGC
RNAcentral lists this ribosomal RNA (355 nucleotides) under uncultured bacterium. RNAcentral's name for it is "bacterial SSU rRNA". It matches the Rfam family "Bacterial small subunit ribosomal RNA", at positions 28 to 376 of the family's 1533-position model. The record is from RNAcentral.